Molecule: ribosomal RNA, 487 nt
Filed under: uncultured bacterium
Lineage: Bacteria
Description: bacterial SSU rRNA
Rfam family: Bacterial small subunit ribosomal RNA
Source: RNAcentral
CUACGUGCCAGCAGCCGCGGUAAUACGUAGGUGGCGAGCGUUGUCCGGAAUCAUUGGGCGUAAAGGGAGCGCAGGCGGGCCGGUAAGUCUUACUUAAAAGUGCGGGGCUCAACCCCGUGAUGGGAGAGAAACUAUCGGUCUUGAGUACAGGAGAGGAAAGCGGAAUUCCCAGUGUAGCGGUGAAAUGCGUAGAUAUUGGGAAGAACACCAGUGGCGAAGGCGGCUUUCUGGACUGCAACUGACGCUGAGGCUCGAAAGCCAGGGGAGCGAACGGGAUUAGAUACCCCGGUAGUCCUGGCCGUAAACGAUGGAUACUAGGUGUGGGAGGUAUCGACCCCUACCGUGCCGGAGUUAACGCAAUAAGUAUCCCGCCUGGGGAGUACGGCCGCAAGGCUGAAACUCAAAGGAAUUGACGGGGGCCCGCACAAGCGGUGGAGUAUGUGGUUUAAUUCGACGCAACGCGAAGAACCUUACCAGGUCUUGACAU